Mus musculus (house mouse) is the source of this 3927-nucleotide long non-coding RNA. RefSeq annotates it as predicted gene, 51938. The transcript has 3 exons. The record is from RefSeq and is a predicted model, not a curated record. NCBI's taxonomy places the organism in Eukaryota, Metazoa, Chordata, Mammalia, Rodentia, Muridae.
UCCUGCAGAUCACAAAGAGCAGUGUUAUGUGACACCCUGCAAGCCAAAAACCAGUUCAGCACAACUUUUUCACUUGGAAAAUAUUUGAGGUGCUUCAAAUGUGCACAGUGCACUGCUUACAAGACUCGGGUCCAGGCCUGAAACAGAGCAGUAUUUAAGAACACAGAAGCCAGUCUUUCAGAGCUGAAACUUAUGCAGCCGGAGUUCUCGUCCUCUGAACAUACCUGUGGAGCAUACUAACACCAACUACUAUAAACAGAAUGCUCACCUUCUAAACCCUCCCAGAGGCUGACUUGCUAUUGUGUUUCAGGGAGGAAUGUAGGGUGCUGACAGGCAUAUGGUCAUGAUUUAAUAAACGUUAUUUUGAGCAUUGUUCAGUAUAGCAGGGAGAUCAGAGAAGCCCAGGGAUACUGUGAAAGUUUUUACUUUUAACAACUUCUUGUUUUCCUCCUGGAAUGUAAAAUACAUUAUGUGUGUGUACCACGAGGACUCAUUGACUCUAAAAGAUAAACUAAUCACACGUCAUUAAGUAUACAGUAACAACAAGCCUACAGAAGACACACAGCUCUCUGGAAAGCACCAUCACAAUGAUUAGACUAUUUCAUUACAGACACUCUAACAUUUGGCCUGUGAGGGACUCCAGCCUAGGGGCACUUUAUAGUCACCUCUGCCUUGGCUUCCCACCAGAGUACAUACACCCUCGACACUGGUCAUGCACAGCGACGUGCAGGUCACACUGUAGUGAAGAAAAAUACCUUUCAAAUUAUAUGAGGCCAGAUUAGCAAUCUUUUCACCUUUUUUUUUCUCUCCCAAGUUUCAUCUAUGGUUGUUUUAUUGCUUUACUAACCCAUUAUUUAAUAUCAACAGUCCAAUUUCUCCACAAUAUUCAUAGGAUAAACUUAAAAGUUUAAUUGAAUAUCCCUGAAAAGAUCAUUCUGUUGUACACUUUCUUAAGUGUGAUAGUUCCAUUUAAAAAUUGAAGACAUUGAGUUUUUUUUUUAAUUCAAACAAUGCAGAGGUAUCACCAUAUUUAAAGAGUCUAAUUUUAGCAUCUCCAGCUUCCUCACUUUAGAACUCCUCCGGAAGUAGGCCCUGUCAUAGACACGCGCUCUUCUCAGGCACAGACUGCCCUGUGCAUCAAUAUGUGCAUCCCCUCUGUUUACAGACAGACUUCUUUUCACUUCAGUGAGAUGAUAUGAUAUAAUAACUAUUGUGUAUUUUGUCGUGUUGCCUAGAUAUUUACUUUAUAAAUUAUGGAAAUGUCAUAAUUAAGCUAUAUCUAUACUAAUACAAAUCUAAAGAAUGCUUUAGACUAUUCCAAGCAGGUCUGUGUGCAGAAGGCUGUGGAUGAACUUCAGGUGCUGCCGUCUUCAGGAAGAACAGCGACCAGGUACUGGUUAUUUCACAUUGUUAGAACUUAAUGUGUGAGGACCUAAGAUAGACUCUUUCAGAGACUCAACAAAAGUCUUUAUUGUUUUACAGUACUUUUAAUCUUUCCUUUAGGGUAGCUGGUUUUGUAUUCAGUUUGGACCAUGUGAUGUCUUGACACUGGUCAUGUGACACAGGCUGCGAUAGGCACAAAUCCCUGGGAAGCAACAAAAGAAGAAAGAGUAAAAAGAAAAAGCUGAGAAAAAGCUUGCAGUUUGGAAAAAGGCCAAAGUACCCCGGUGGAAGCGUUUUGAUCAGUGAACUGACACAUGUGUGCAAUAUUAAUAGGCAAUCUUUUAGAUUCAAGAUAUCUAAUUUCUGAUUAAAGAUCCAAUUCUUGUGUUCAUAACUCAAGUGGCUUCUAAAGAUACAGAUAUAUUAAAACUCUGUUUUGAGUUUAACUUAACCUAUAAUUGAAACUUUCAGGCAACACUAAAAGCGGCCAGCCUACUUUUACAUUAACAUCAUUUUCUUCAAUGGAACCCUGCUUCUUAGGUUUGACAAUAUUGAUGUGGAACUGUGUGGUUUCCUUGCUAACUCAUGUCUGUAUUUCUAGAUAAGAAUCAAAGAUACCCCUGUAAUUGUUACAAAAUAAAUAAUAAUAGAAAACCCUCAUGUUUCAAAAGGAAAUAAACCUAACAAUACUUAAAGAUACAUUACUAUACAGCUUACUUCUAUUCACUGAAGGAAAAAAAAACCCACUCUGUAUCAUUAAUCCUUAUCUGAGGUGGUAUACAGUGAUAGAAAUCUAUACUCAGCCUAAUAAUAAAAAAAUUAAAGUUUCUUCUAACAUAUCAGUACACUAUUGUUUAUAGGGAUUUAAAAUUUUUUAAAUUUAAAAGCUUUUAAAAGCCAGUAAGUUGAACCAUUACAAAUUAAUCCUGACUUUAAUAACUGGUUAAAGACCCCUUUAGCUUUAUAAGCAACAAAAAAUAUUAAAGCCUCUGAUCACAGUGAGCGUUUCUCAUUUCUCCUCUAACCAUUUGUUAUUUAAUCCAAUACUAGUAAUCCAAUUUGUCCAUCAGACUUUUAAAGGGCAGAAUGCAACUUCCUCCGCUUAGACACUUUUCAAAGUACAAUAUAUUUUUCAAAUGAAUGCUGGAUGUUUCAUUUUUCCCAACUGUUCCUAGCUCUAAUGCAGGAGGAAAAAAAGAACAAGAUGAACAUUGUUCAUACUGAUUAAGUAAGAGCUCAUUAAAGAGCUGUCAGCGCGCUACUUUGAAUAUGCAUGAAGCAUAUAAUCAGAUCUAGUACCGUCACUAGAGGAGAAUACGGUAAGUACAAAGGAUUGAUUUAAUUACUUAGAGUGGGCUGCGGUGGCGAAGCAGUCUUGUUAGUGCAGAAAGAAAAAGAGGUUGUAUUCUGGCACUGCGAUAGAAAAGGCAGUUUUAGCUUCUGCCACAAUACCUAAUCUCAGAGUAAAGCACUUUACACUGUAGCUUAAAAUGAAGACUGCCGUUAUAAAACGCCCAUAAAUCAUUUAAUCUUACUUAACUUACCUUGGAACUACCUCUUCUUUCAAAAUUAUUUUAAAUUUAUAAUUACAACUACAUUUUCAUCACUGCAGAGCCAAUACUGUUUCUUCUGUAAAUGCUAAAUUCUUCUUAGUUUCAUAACCUGAAAAAUGCACUAUUGAAGGCUACUGUGGGGUAAGGUAUGGCAAGAAGAUCUGAGCUAAAGGCUCAGUGUACAUUUGCUGAAAUGGAAUAUUCACCAAUAAGGACAUCACAAAGAACAAGGAGUUCUUACCUUAAAAUUAUUAUAAUCUCUAGCAACAAACAUAUAAACAGUUUGUCUCCUUAAGGAGGUCUGCAUUAUUCUUCCUGUAGGAAUGAGACAUCUUUUUGGAUAUCAAAUGUCGUAAACGUUAGUUUAGUUUAGUUUUUGUUUUUUUUUUAAAUCAGAUACUGUAGCUGGAGCAUGAGCUGCAAAAACACUAAGUAACCAGGGACAAGAGCUGGAAAAAUAAUUGUGUAAAUGAGACUUCAUGCCCUUCUCCUGCUUCUGGAGGGAGCAGGAGUCACUCCACAGAGAGCUGCUUGUGCACGCCAGCAGAAGGAACGGAGUAAAUGUCUCAUAGUCAAGGAGAGCCACCACUUUUACAUUCCAACUCACAAGAGACUGAUCAUCAAGAUAUGACUUCUUUCAGGAACUCAUUCAUCCAAUAAUUUAUUUGUGGUUUUCAUUUAUUCUUUUCAGAAGCAGGGUUUUCACGGUUUAAAAAUAAAGAAGAGUGAGGUUCCAGAUCUGGAAUUCUUCUGUUUUAUACUGCAGUGAUGGGAUUCAGACCCUGGACUUCAUUCAUGAUCAGCAGCCUGGCCUAUACCUGUCCAAAUGAUACAGCCUGUGUGCUUCCCAGGAGGUCCACAGUGACCAAGAACACAGACAGGAGCCUGGCAUGGCUGUCCUCUGUGAGAGCCCCUACCAGCAGCUGACCGAGGCAGAAGCAGAUACUUAAACCCAAGCAUUGAACUGAAGUCUGGGACCCCUAUGGUUGAA